CCUACGGGACGCAGCAGUGGGGGAUAUUGGACAAUGGGGGAAACCCUGAUCCAGCGACGCCGCGUGAGUGAAGAAGUAUUUCGGUAUGUAAGGCUCUAUCAGCAGGGAAGAAAGAAAUGACGGUACCUGAGUAAGAAGCCCCGGCUAACUACGUGCCAGCAGCCGCGGUAAUACGUAGGGGGCAAGCGUUAUCCGGAUUCAUUGGGCGUAAAGCGCGCGCAGGCGGACCGUUAAGCGGGACCUCUAAUCCUGGGGCUCAACCUCAGGCCGGGUCCCGAACUGGCGGUCUCGAGUGCGGUAGGGGG
Molecule: ribosomal RNA, 305 nt
Filed under: uncultured bacterium
Lineage: Bacteria
Description: bacterial SSU rRNA
Rfam family: Bacterial small subunit ribosomal RNA
Source: RNAcentral